This 341-nucleotide unclassified non-coding RNA is filed under the name soil metagenome. RNAcentral describes it as "partial contains 5.8S ribosomal RNA, internal transcribed spacer 2, and large subunit ribosomal RNA". The stretch from base 1 to 120 matches the Rfam family "5.8S ribosomal RNA", at positions 35 to 154 of the family's 154-position model. The record is from RNAcentral.
GAUGUAGAACGUAGCGAAAUGCGAUAAGUAGUGUGAAUUGCAGAAUUCAGUGAAUCAUCGAAUCUUUGAACGCACAUUGCGCCCUUUGGUAUUCCAAAGGGCAUGCCUGUUCGAGCGUCAUUUGUACCCUCAAGCUUUGCUUGGUGUUGGGCGUCUUGUCUCUAGCUUUGCUGGAGACUCGCCUUAAAGUAAUUGGCAGCCGGCCUACUGGUUUCGGAGCGCAGCACAAGUCGCACUCUCUAUCAGCAAAGGUCUAGCAUCCAUUAAGCCUUUUUUUCAACUUUUGACCUCGGAUCAGGUAGGGAUACCCGCUGAACUUAAGCAUAUCAAUAAGCGGAGGA